CUGUUAAUUUGGCUGAGGCUGGUGGGGAUCUGACUUUCCUUCAGCAAAUGAUCUGGGACAGCGGCUGGCUCACCAUAUAUCUUCCUUUACAGCCUCUGUGACACUCGAUUCCGAAUUUCUCAGGCCUAAAAAUAAUAUCCUAAACCCCAUCCAGAGUCCCCACAUCACUAGCCGUAUGACCCCACAGAAGUAACUUACCCUUGGCCCUGCGUUUCCACCUGUACAGUGAGAGGACUGGGUACAAUGAUCUCUCCGCUUCCAGCCCUAGAAAUGCCUUAUGAAUGGGGUCAGCUGCUGAAGGGUGAAUGUCAUCCCAGCCCUUUUCUCUUCCCUGGAAAUCACCUGAAAUCUGAAGGAGCGAAGCCUCUGGCCAUGAUUUUGAAGCAAUACAUCAUGUGUCCCUGGAUGGUUCUAGGGCAACUGCGAAGGGUUUCUGCUAUUUGCUGCCUUUGUCCUUAAGGGUUAAGAACUGCUUGUGUCAUAGCUGCAAAAAACUCUUUCCUAUUCCCACAUACUGGCAAGCAAUUUUUUAAAAUCAUUUAAAGUUUUUGCGAGAACAGGAUUAAUUUUUUUUAAGUACAGAAAGUUGGUGGAAGAAGAGCAAUCCCCCCUUUUUAAACCUCACCUGCGUACAUCCAGUUACUCAGUCAUUCUCACCGCAUUUGAAUGCUAUUUUGAGUCACCGGCGUCAUCAGAGCAUCAGUUUUGAGCUGUGCUUGAUGAGUUAGAUGCAUCUCCCUGGGGAAGGUCGACCUGGCUACUGUGACAAGGCUUUGCAAGUGGCAGGACAUUGGGGGGCCACCUUUCGUGUUCUGAAAAUCGAUAUUGUCAGGACACUGCAAGGAGUCAGGGUCUCAGGACUCAGCUUCUGGGAAUACUCUACAGCCCACCGAGCCAGCUCGCCUAGCAAUGAGACGUGAAGCUGUGGGGCUAGAAGUCAUAUCACCAUAUGAACGUGUCCUAUUACAUCCAAAGCAUGUAGAAGAGAAAGAAGGUUUGAAACACACAGUCAGAAGCAAACCCACAGAAAAUUCUUCCAGUCUUCACACAUAUGAAAUGAAAAAGUUUCAGGCCCCAUGAAACUUGGAUCUGUCCCUGGUCGAGCAGCUGCCAUUUGCCCAACUACACAUUGGGUCCUUGGGAUGCGGAGAUGAGCAAGACACAAUCUUCGCCAUCAACAAACUUGUAUUCUA
This is a long non-coding RNA of Equus caballus (horse), 1193 nucleotides long. RefSeq lists it as uncharacterized. The record is from RefSeq and is a predicted model, not a curated record. Lineage: Eukaryota; Metazoa; Chordata; Mammalia; Perissodactyla; Equidae.